CUGCCCAAAGAGUGCAGAUCCCAGAGCUCCAGCACUGCCCUAACGUGUGUGAGCAAUUCCCAUUUUCAUGGGAAGAAAAGAUUUGAGAAUGGAUAUCUUUCCUGCCUGUUUGCAGAGCAGUGUGGAUGAGGAGGAGGAAGCUGCUUCAUUUUCCCACUUCAUGACUACACAGCUUUUUAUUUCCUUCUGAGCCAUGGGUGUGUAAUCAGUGACUGUGAUCGUGUGCUCCACAAAAGCUACCACAGCACCGUUAACCACCUUCAUAACCCUCAUUUGAGAAAUCUGCAAUAACAAUUCCAGUGAUGAAAGACAUUUGCAUACAGUUAAUGUAAAUCUAAUGCUUAAACAAGCUCUACAGAAUAUUAAUCAUCCUGAUUUUUCUGAGAGGUCAUAAGAAAAGUAAUCAAGACAUGAUUUAAUUUAUGGUGAUGAGCCACUUAAAUUGCAUAUGUAUGGAGAGGGGGGAUGCAAUGGAGGAAAUCUGGGUAAGUUUGGAAGAAGCUUUGAAAUGUCCAAACAAACAUUUAAAAACAAUCUAUGUAAAUACAAUUAGUAAGACACCAAAUUGAGCUUUAUGAUCCAAAGAAGUUCCCAUCGGCCAAAAUUGGACUGAAAGGAACAGACAGAAGAGAAUGAGGAUAUGCACUGAAAACGUUACCUUUGGAAGCAUGAGCAUAUUUGUGCACAACGUGACAGAUGCAUGUUUCUAUGGUAGAAAGUUUUGUACUAAGGAACAGUCACUCUCUUACGAUAAAUUCCUUUCUAUGAGAAAGCAUGGGCCCUUUCCUUUCUGCUAAGCAAGCUGUUGAAACUGAGAGCAAAUACAAGUGGUUGACUU
Meleagris gallopavo (turkey) is the source of this 838-nucleotide non-coding RNA. Lineage: Eukaryota; Metazoa; Chordata; Aves; Galliformes; Phasianidae. The record is from RefSeq and is a predicted model, not a curated record.